GUACACGCUGUGACUAGCAUAUCAAUAAGCGGAGGAAAAGAAACUAACAAGGAUUCCCCUAGUAACGGCGAGUGAAGCGGGAAGAGCUCAAAUUUGAAAUCUUAAAGGGUUUCCCUUUACGAAUUGUAGUUUAAAGAAGUGUUUUCUGUUGAGGUUUUGGUAAAAGUUCUUUGGAAUAGGACAUCAUAGAGGGUGAGAAUCCCGUAUUUGACCUUUACUUUCAACUUUGUGAUACACUUUCAAAGAGUCGGAUUGUUUGGGAAUGCAGUCCAAAAUGGGUGGUAAAUUUCAUCUAAAGCUAAAUAUUGGCGAGAGACCGAUAGCGAACAAGUACCGUGAGGGAAAGAUGAAAAGAACUUUGAAAAGAGAGUUAAACAGUACGUGAAAUUGUCAAAAGGGAAGCGUUUGACACCAGUGUUGUUUUUCUGAAAAUCAAUUAAAGAACUGUUUAUGCUAAGUUGUUUAGACUUUAUCAGCUAACUGUUUAGUUUUGAGCUUUUCUUUAAUGCACUUUUCAGUUAACAAGUCAACAUCAAUUUCUUUUGCUGUAAAAAAGCUUGAGGAAGGUGGCUUGAGAUUCGUCUUAAGUGUUUAUAGCCUCUUGCCUAUGCAGUCGGAGAGAUUGAGGUCUGCAGCGUAGAUCCUUCGGGGCUAAAUGCAUUUGUGCUAAGUUAUAACAUUUUAUAGACAACUUGUUGACUAUGAUUUGUCUUGUAGCUUACUCGCUUAUGUUAUUUUACCUACGCUUAGGAUGUUGACAGCAGUAUAGACUGU
This 774-nucleotide ribosomal RNA is filed under the name uncultured Neocallimastigales. RNAcentral's name for it is "partial large subunit ribosomal RNA". It matches the Rfam family "Eukaryotic large subunit ribosomal RNA", at positions 22 to 637 of the family's 3401-position model. The record is from RNAcentral. Lineage: Eukaryota; Fungi; Neocallimastigomycota; Neocallimastigomycetes; Neocallimastigales.